AGUGAACGCUGGCGGUAGGCCUAACACAUGCAAGUCGAACGGCAGCACAGUAAGAGCUUGUUCUUACGGGUGGCGAGUGGCGGACGGGUGAGGAAUACAUCGGAAUCUACUUUUUCGUGGGGGAUAACGUAGGGAAACUUACGCUAAUACCGCAUACGACCUACGGGUGAAAGCAGGGGAUCUUCGGACCUUGCGCGAUUGAAUGAGCCGAUGUCGGAUUAGCUAGUUGGCGGGGUAAAGGCCCACCAAGGCGACGAUCCGUAGCUGGUCUGAGAGGAUGAUCAGCCACACUGGAACUGAGACACGGUCCAGACUCCUACGGGAGGCAGCAGUGGGGAAUAUUGGACAAUGGGCGCAAGCCUGAUCCAGCCAUACCGCGUGGGUGAAGAAGGCCUUCGGGUUGUAAAGCCCUUUUGUUGGGAAAGAAAAGCAGCAGGUUAAUACCCCGCUGUUCUGACGGUACCCAAAGAACAAGCACCGGCUAACUUCGUG
RNAcentral lists this ribosomal RNA (492 nucleotides) under uncultured bacterium. Its description in RNAcentral is "partial 16S ribosomal RNA". It matches the Rfam family "Bacterial small subunit ribosomal RNA", at positions 29 to 507 of the family's 1533-position model. The record is from RNAcentral.